UCCCUGGUGGUCCAGUGGUUAAGACUUUCACUGCUGUGGGCCCAGGUUCAAUCCCUGGUCAGGGAA
RNAcentral lists this transfer RNA (66 nucleotides) under Bos taurus (domestic cattle). It matches the Rfam family "tRNA". Rfam says of the family: Transfer RNA (tRNA) molecules are approximately 80 nucleotides in length. Their secondary structure includes four short double-helical elements and three loops (D, anti-codon, and T loops). Further hydrogen bonds mediate the characteristic L-shaped molecular structure. tRNAs have two regions of fundamental functional importance: the anti-codon, which is responsible for specific mRNA codon recognition, and the 3' end, to which the tRNAs corresponding amino acid is attached (by aminoacyl-tRNA synthetases). tRNAs cope with the degeneracy of the genetic code in two manners: having more than one tRNA (with a specific anti-codon) for a particular amino acid; and 'wobble' base-pairing, i.e. permitting non-standard base-pairing at the 3rd anti-codon position. The record is from Rfam by way of RNAcentral. RNAcentral also lists the same sequence under 4 other names. Lineage: Eukaryota; Metazoa; Chordata; Mammalia; Artiodactyla; Bovidae.